AUUGAACGCUGGCGGCAGGCUUAACACAUGCAAGUCGAGCGGGGUGAUGGUGCUUGCACUAUCACUUAGCGGCGGACGGGUGAGUAAUGCUUAGGAAUCUGCCUAUUAGUGGGGGACAACAUCUCGAAAGGGAUGCUAAUACCGCAUACGUCCUACGGGAGAAAGCAGGGGAUCACUUGUGACCUUGCGCUAAUAGAUGAGCCUAAGUCGGAUUAGCUAGUUGGUGGGGUAAAGGCCUACCAAGGCGACGAUCUGUAGCGGGUCUGAGAGGAUGAUCCGCCACACUGGGACUGAGACGCGGCCCAGACCCCUACGGGAGGCAGCAGUGGGGAAUAUUGGACAAUGGGGGGAACCCUGAUCCAGCCAUGCCGCGUGUGUGAAGAAGGCCUUAUGGUUGUAAAGCACUUUAAGCGAGGAGGAGGCUCUCUUGGUUAAUACCCAAGAUGAGUGGACGUUACUCGCAGAAUAAGCACCGGCUAACUCUGUGCCAGCCGCCGCAGUAA
RNAcentral lists this ribosomal RNA (503 nucleotides) under uncultured bacterium. RNAcentral describes it as "partial 16S ribosomal RNA". It matches the Rfam family "Bacterial small subunit ribosomal RNA", at positions 30 to 523 of the family's 1533-position model. The record is from RNAcentral.